UUAACACAUGCAAGUCGAACGAUGAACCGGCUUCGGCCGGGGAUUAGUGGCGAACGGGUGAGUAACACGUGGGCAAUCUGCCCUGCACUCUGGGACAAGCCCUGGAAACGGGGUCUAAUACCGGAUACGACACUCUCGGGCAUCCGAUGAGUGUGGAAAGCUCCGGCGGUGCAGGAUGAGCCCGCGGCCUAUCAGCUUGUUGGUGAGGUAACGGCUCACCAAGGCGACGACGGGUAGCCGGCCUGAGAGGGCGACCGGCCACACUGGGACUGAGACACGG
This 280-nucleotide ribosomal RNA is filed under the name Streptomyces sp. ATCC 55550. RNAcentral's name for it is "partial 18S ribosomal RNA". It matches the Rfam family "Bacterial small subunit ribosomal RNA", at positions 48 to 329 of the family's 1533-position model. The record is from RNAcentral. Lineage: Bacteria; Bacillati; Actinomycetota; Actinomycetes; Kitasatosporales; Streptomycetaceae.